UCCUGUCUAUCUAAUUAUUUGUUGAUUUGUAGUAUCCUUCCUAGGAAAGUGAUGAAGAUGCCCAAAGAGAAGAGCAGAGUGCAGAACCUUUCACAUUGGCACAGGACAGUGAUGAAGAUGUCCAAAGAGAAGAACAGAGUGGAGAACCUUUCACAUUGGCACAGGAAAAUGCCCCUCAAGAAAUACAUGAUGAUAUCCACUCUCAUGGACUAACAGAAGGGCAAAGUUGCAUCUCUAUUUUCUCCAUUACAGUGAGACACAACACUACUGGUGUAUUGAUGGAAGACCUGCUGAAACUUCUGAAGUCACAUUCUGCUGGGACAAAUGCAGUACCAGCAAGCAAGUAUUUUUUGAAAAGACCAAUAGCUGGUAUUAUAGAUCAAUUGAAACGCCAUCAUUACUGCAGAGUAUGUACUAAGUACCUUGGCACUUCACAAUCACAAGAAGAAACACUUACAUGUCUGUCAUGUUCAUCGUCCAUAACAGUAAAAGACAGUUUACAGGAAGGACAUUUCUUUAUCAGUAUUCCAUUAAAGGAUCAACUGAAGGAUGUUCUUGAGAAUCAAGGUAUGCAUGGUUUCUGUUUUCGUCCUGAUGACAGUAGUAGGCAUGUAAUAAGUGAUUUAUGUGAUGGCACCUUAUAUCAGACCUUGAAAUCAAACAUUGAAGAGGAUUUCCUCUCCCUUACAUUUAAUUGUGAUGGUGUACCAGUCUUUCAGUCCUCUAAAUUUAGUAUUUGGCCUAUACUGUGUUGUGUUAAUGAGAUAACCCCUGAGAGUAGAGAUAAGCAUGUGCUUUUAUGUGCUUUAUGGUUUGGAGCAAAAAAGCCACACAUGACCUGCUACUUCCAACCAUUUGUAGAGGAAUGUGCCAAUCUUUCACAAGCUGGCUUUGAGUGGCAACAUCCUAAUGAUCAGUCAUGGAGACACGUGAAGGUGCACCCAUUGUGCCUGUGUGUGUGAUGCAGCAGCAAGGCCAUUACUACAAAAUUUUAAGCAAUUUAAUGGUGAAUAUGGCUGUGGAGUCUGCCUUCACCCUGGGGUGCAGACGAAGAAAGGAAAAGGAAAGUCAAGGGUAUACAAAUGUGCAGAUGAAAAACCAAGUGACAGAAAUCAUAAAACCACAGUAGAGAUAGGAGAAAUUGCUGAAAGAGAAGGGACAGCAAUAUUGGGCAUAAAGGGCCCAUCUGCCAUUGUAGAUUUACCAAACUUUGAUGUAAUCAAUGGGAUGGUCCCUGACUAUAUGUAUUGUGUGUUGCUUGGCGUGGCAACUUUAUGGAUCGAUUCAAAAAACUAUUCUGAGCCAUGGUACAUUGGCACACAAACGGCUAUCUUGGACAGACACCUCUUGUCUAUAAAACCUCCAGGUAUUGUUGCUCGAGUUCCAAGAUCUCUGACUGAACGCAAAUUCUGGAAAGCCCAUGAGUGGCAACACUGGCUUCUGUACUAUAGCUUGCCAGUUCUAAAAGGCAUACUUCCACAGAAGUAUCACUGUCAUUGGGCAUUACUGAUAGAGGGCAUAAGCAUUCUGUUGGGAUCCGAAAUAAAUACAGAACAGAUAAAUCAUGCCCAUGAGGCAUUAGUGUAUUUUGUUGGAGGUGUGCAGUCGCUGUAUGGGGAAGAGCACAUGCCAUUCAAUGUUCAUUCACUUCUGCAUUUGAGCAAAAGUGUUGUGCAUUGUGGUCCUUUGUGGGCACACUCAGCCUUUAUGUUUGAAGAUUUCAAUGGAUACCUCCUGAAACAAGUAAAAAGUAGCCAAGCUGUACCACAACAAAUAUGCAAACGAGUUCUGUUUUCCCAAGCUUUUCCCCGUUUAGCAAAGCAAUUUUUAACAAAUGCACCUGCAGAAGUUACCGAUUUCUGUAAUGAAAUAAGAACCGAAAAGCAUCAUGUCAAGAAGUUUGCGAAGUUCACUGAGGUAACUGCCCUUGGUCCACCAAAUGUAAGAUUAAUGUCUGUUAGUGAUCAAGCUGCCUUACACACAGUGAGAGAGGUUUCCCCAAACUCUGUGGUAAAUUACUACAAGAUGUUCAUGUUCAUGGUCAUACCUACAGCAAAACAAAACAAAGAAACAACUCUAUUGUGCUUUUGAAGGAUGGGAGUAUUUUU
Carassius auratus (goldfish) is the source of this 2108-nucleotide long non-coding RNA. RefSeq lists it as uncharacterized. The record is from RefSeq and is a predicted model, not a curated record. The transcript is spliced from 3 exons. NCBI's taxonomy places the organism in Eukaryota, Metazoa, Chordata, Actinopteri, Cypriniformes, Cyprinidae.